RNAcentral lists this ribosomal RNA (263 nucleotides) under uncultured bacterium. Its description in RNAcentral is "partial 16S ribosomal RNA". It matches the Rfam family "Bacterial small subunit ribosomal RNA", at positions 91 to 354 of the family's 1533-position model. The record is from RNAcentral.
CUUAGCGGCGGACGGGUGAGUAACGCGUGGGUAACCUGCCUUAUACAGGGGGAUAACAGUUAGAAAUGACUGCUAAUACCGCAUAAGCGCACGGGAACGCAUGUUUCUGUGUGAAAAACUGAGGUAGUAUAAGAUGGACCCGCGUCUGAUUAGCUGGUUGGUGGGGUAACGGCCUACCAAGGCGACGAUCAGUAGCCGGCCUGAGAGGGUGACCGGCCACAUUGGGACUGAGACACGGCCCAAACUCCUACGGGAGGCAGCAG